This 779-nucleotide long non-coding RNA is filed under the name Homo sapiens (human). Its description in RNAcentral is "HSALNT0334885". Lineage: Eukaryota; Metazoa; Chordata; Mammalia; Primates; Hominidae. The record is from RNAcentral.
CAAAGAUACGGUUAAACAAGGCCUAGCACAGGCCAACAAUUUUUUGCCAUGUGGCAGUUGUUUUGAAUUUACCUAGGUUUUUUUUUCUUUUUCUGUAUGUGGAGGGAGAAGAGGAAAGGUAUUGAAGGGAAGUAACUGUAUUCUAUGAUUUUAUUUCAGAUGCAGCUGUUCUCUUAGUUACAUUGGCAGAUUGUGUGUUGUCAAUGUUGACUAUUGCUUAGGGAACCACAGUAUAUCAGUGCAUGGCCUCUGCCUGGCCCUUUCGCACAAUUGUAACUGUAGCGGUCUGCAAAGAUAUGAAAGGAACAUCUGUGAGAUAGAUACUGAAGACUGCAAAUCUGCGUCCUGCAAAAAUGGAACAACUAGUACACAUUUAAGGGGAUAUUUCUUCCGCAAGUGUGUCCCAGGAUUUAAAGGUACGCAAUGUGAAAUUGAUAUAGAUGAGUGUGCUUCACAUCCCUGCAAAAAUGGAGCCACCUGCAUUGACCAACCUGGUAAUUACUUCUGCCAGUGUGUGCCUCCAUUUAAAGAUUCCACACAUAAGUGGGAUCAUGCGGUAUUUGUCUCUUUGUGCCUGGCUUAACAUGAUGUCCUCCAGGUUCAUCCAAGAGGAGGUAUUGUGGUUGAUGGCUUUUCCUGCUUAUGCAAUCCAGGCUAUGUUGGGAUAAGAUGUGAACAGGACAUUGAUGACUGCAUCCUGAAUGCCUGUGAGCACAAUUCUACCUGCAAAGACCUGCAUCUCCAUCAUGAUGCUGAAUUUAGAUGAAAAGCAGAAAAUA